GACGAACGCUGGCGGCGUGCUUAACACAUGCAAGUCGAACGGAAAGGCCCUGCUUUUGUGGGGUGCUCGAGUGGCGAACGGGUGAGUAACACGGGAGUAACCUGCCCUUGACUUUGGGAUAACUUCAGGAAACUGGGGCUAAUACCGGAUAGGAGCUCCUGCUGCAUGGUGGGGGUUGGAAAGUUUCGUCGGUUGGGGAUGGACUCGCGGCUUUUCAGCUUGUUGGUGGGGGAGUGGCUUACCAAGGCUUUGAUGGGUAGCCGGCCUGAGGGGGUGACCGGCCACAUUGGGACUGGAGUACGGCCCGAACUCCAACGGGAGGAAGCAGGGGGGAAAAUUGCACAAUGGGCGGAAGCCUAAGGCAGCAACCCCGCGUGCGGGAUAACGGCCUUCGGGUUGUAAACCGCUUUCGCCUGUGACGAAGCGUGAGUGACGGUAAUGGGUAAAGAAGCACCGGCUAACUACGUG
RNAcentral lists this ribosomal RNA (468 nucleotides) under uncultured bacterium. Its description in RNAcentral is "partial 16S ribosomal RNA". It matches the Rfam family "Bacterial small subunit ribosomal RNA", at positions 28 to 507 of the family's 1533-position model. The record is from RNAcentral.